RNAcentral lists this transfer RNA (78 nucleotides) under Klebsiella pneumoniae. RNAcentral's name for it is "tRNA-Phe". The record is from RNAcentral. Lineage: Bacteria; Pseudomonadati; Pseudomonadota; Gammaproteobacteria; Enterobacterales; Enterobacteriaceae.
CCCGGAUAGCUCAGUCGGUAGAGCAGGGGAUUGAAAAUCCCCGUGUCCUUGGUUCGNCGGCUCACCCCUUCGGGGCCA